GAUGAAGAACGCAGCGAAAUGCGAUAAGUAAUGUGAAUUGCAGAAUUCAGUGAAUCAUCGAAUCUUUGAACGCACAUUGCGCCCGCCAGUAUUCUGGCGGGCAUGCCUGUUCGAGCGUCAUUUCAACCCUCAAGCCCAGCUUGGUGUUGGGGAUCGGCACAGGCGCCCUCGGGCGCCCGCCGUCCCCUAAAUCUAGUGGCGGUCCCGCUGCAGCCUCCUCUGCGUAGUAGUUUUCUCCUCGCAAGGGCAGCUCGGUGGCGACCUCGCCGUAAAACCCCCAACUUCUGAAAGGUUGACCUCGAAUCAGGUAGGAAUACCCGCUGAACUUAAGCAUAUCAAUAGCGGAGGA
This 349-nucleotide unclassified non-coding RNA is filed under the name soil metagenome. RNAcentral describes it as "partial contains 5.8S ribosomal RNA, internal transcribed spacer 2, and large subunit ribosomal RNA". The stretch from base 1 to 120 matches the Rfam family "5.8S ribosomal RNA", at positions 35 to 154 of the family's 154-position model. The record is from RNAcentral.